GACAACAACAAUUUAAACUAAAACAACGACAACAAUUUAUGAUCGAACGAAUACCAUGUUUUUCUUCGGUCCUUGCGAAAUCAAAGGAACGCCUGCUUGCGGUUCGGAGCUUCCUCUGUUCCGUCGGGUUGGACUCGGAGCUAGAUCAGAUAGGAUCAGAUCGCUGGCGUUUUGAGUCUUGAUGCACAGUCAUGGCUCACAAGUCACAUUUGCCCCCUUUUU
Molecule: long non-coding RNA, 222 nt
Filed under: Brachypodium distachyon (stiff brome)
Lineage: Eukaryota; Viridiplantae; Streptophyta; Magnoliopsida; Poales; Poaceae
Description: long non-coding RNA (BDIS_LNC005754)
Source: RNAcentral